RNAcentral lists this long non-coding RNA (225 nucleotides) under Brassica napus (rape). RNAcentral describes it as "long non-coding RNA (BNAP_LNC003611)". Lineage: Eukaryota; Viridiplantae; Streptophyta; Magnoliopsida; Brassicales; Brassicaceae. The record is from RNAcentral.
AGACUGCACACUUAACUCAAUUAAUUAUUCACUAAGCAAAAAGCAUUCCUACAAAUUAGUUAAUUACUAAUCACUCUUUCGAUUAGAAAAGAAUUAAUAAACUAUAAGCUUAACGUUUAAAAAAUGUAUUAAAACUCCAAGGUCCAUCUGGAUGAUUAAAAGCAUUUCCUAUUAAUCACUCUUUGGAUAAAAAGAAAAGUAAGAAGAAAUAAUUAAUAAACUAUC